UACGUAGGGUCCGAGCGUUGUCCGGAAUUAUUGGGCGUAAAGAGCUCGUAGGCGGUCUGUCACGUCGGCUGUGAAAACACGGGGCUCAACUCCGUGCCUGCAGUCGAUACGGGCAGACUAGAGUUCGGUAGGGGAGACUGGAAUUCCUGGUGUAGCGGUGAAAUGCGCAGAUAUCAGGAGGAACACCUGUGGCGAAGGCGGCUUUCUGGGCCUUACCUGACGCUGAGACGCGAAAGCGUGGGGAGCGAACCGG
RNAcentral lists this ribosomal RNA (253 nucleotides) under uncultured bacterium. Its description in RNAcentral is "partial 16S ribosomal RNA". It matches the Rfam family "Bacterial small subunit ribosomal RNA", at positions 524 to 776 of the family's 1533-position model. The record is from RNAcentral.